GAGAACCAAAUGAAUUGAAAGAUUCAUGUUUGGUUCGGGAAGAGAUCAUAAAAAUUGUAAACAUCAAAUAUACCUUUGUUCACUUUGC
Non-coding RNA from Triticum aestivum (bread wheat), 88 nucleotides. The record is from Rfam. Lineage: Eukaryota; Viridiplantae; Streptophyta; Magnoliopsida; Poales; Poaceae.